Cydia splendana is the source of this 308-nucleotide long non-coding RNA. RefSeq lists it as uncharacterized. Lineage: Eukaryota; Metazoa; Arthropoda; Insecta; Lepidoptera; Tortricidae. The record is from RefSeq and is a predicted model, not a curated record. The transcript has 3 exons.
CUGGCUUAAGGAGCCAUUUGAGGGUAGAUUUUGUUUAAUUUUAUUUAAAUACCUAAAGAUACAGAGUAUACUAAUAAUCGUUUGUCUUUAUCUGUCAUUUUGACUUAUGUAUUUGUAAGAAAGGGAUAAAACAUAAUUUAACUAAAUCAGGCCCGUAAAGUUUUAUGAAGGGGGUUAGGCGAAAACACCCAUGACUCAGGAACAAAUAUCCGUGCUCAUCACACAAAUAAAUGCCCUUACCGGGAUUCGAACCCGGGAUCAUCGGCUUCGCAGGCAGGGUCACUACCCACUAGGCCAGACAGGCCAUC